Molecule: ribosomal RNA, 465 nt
Filed under: uncultured bacterium
Lineage: Bacteria
Description: partial 16S ribosomal RNA
Rfam family: Bacterial small subunit ribosomal RNA
Source: RNAcentral
GACGAACGCUGGCGGCGUGCUUAACACAUGCAAGUCGAACGGAAAGGCCCCUUCGGGGGUACUCGAGUGGCGAACGGGUGAGUAACACGUGAGUAACCUGCCCUUGACUUCGGGAUAACUUCAGGAAACUGGGGCUAAUACCGGAUAGGAAUCCUUGCUGCAUGGUGGGGGUUGGAAAGCUUCGGCGGUUUUGGAUGGACUCGCGGCUUAUCAGUUUGUUGGUGGGGUAGUGGCUUACCAAGGCUUUGACGGGUAGCCGGCCUGAGAGGGCGACCGGCCACAUUGGGACUGAGAUACGGCCCAGACUCCUACGGGAGGCAGCAGUGGGGAAUAUUGCACAAUGGGCGGAAGCCUGAUGCAGCAACGCCGCGUGCGGGAUGACGGCCUUCGGGUUGUAAACCGCUUUCAGCAGGGGCGAAGCUUGUGGUGACGGUACCUGCAGAAGAAGCACCGGCUAACUACGUG